RNAcentral lists this unclassified non-coding RNA (244 nucleotides) under Hevea brasiliensis (rubber tree). Lineage: Eukaryota; Viridiplantae; Streptophyta; Magnoliopsida; Malpighiales; Euphorbiaceae. The record is from RNAcentral.
AAGCUAAUAUUCAUAUAAAAAUCACGUAUUACUAGAUAAAAUGGUCAUGAAUGCUCUGUUUUGAAAUUCCUUGUUUAUCCAGGGGAAAAAGAAAAAAAAAGAAGAAAAUGUGAUGUCCUAAAAAACUGAGUGUCUGUAUUCUCAUUUAAAAUACUCACCACCUCUUCAAAUACCAACGUAUUCUAUUCCAUGGACACUAUAUGACUCAGACAACUAGUAGCUCAAUAAAAAAUAAAGUUUAAAA